RNAcentral lists this ribosomal RNA (366 nucleotides) under uncultured bacterium. RNAcentral describes it as "bacterial SSU rRNA". It matches the Rfam family "Bacterial small subunit ribosomal RNA", at positions 28 to 399 of the family's 1533-position model. The record is from RNAcentral.
GACGAACGCUGGCGGCGUGCUUAACACAUGCAAGUCGAACGGUGAACCACUUCGGUGGGGAUCAGUGGCGAACGGGUGAGUAACACGUGGGCAACCUGCCCUUAGCUCUGGGAUAACCCCGGGAAACCGGGGCUAAUACCGGAUACGACCUCGAGCGGCAUCACUCGAGGUGGAAAGAACUUCGGCUAAGGAUGGGCCCGCGGCCUAUCAGCUUGUUGGUGGGGUAAUGGCCUACCAAGGCGACGACGGGUAGCCGGCCUGAGAGGGCGACCGGCCACACUGGGACUGAGACACGGCCCAGACUCCUACGGGAGGCAGCAGUGGGGAAUAUUGCGCAAUGGGCGAAAGCCUGACGCAGCGACGCCG